CCUACGGGUGGCAGCAGUGAGGAAUAUUGGUCAAUGGCCGCGAGGCUGAACCAGCCAAGUCGCGUGAGGGAAGAAUGUCCUAUGGAUUGUAAACCUCUUUUGUCAGGGAGCAAAGUCACCCACGUGUGGGUGUUGGAGAGUACCUGAAGAAAAAGCAUCGGCUAACUCCGUGCCAGCAGCCGCGGUAAUACGGAGGAUGCGAGCGUUAUCCGGAAUCAUUGGGCGUAAAGCGUUCGUAGGCGGCAAGGUAAGUCUGAUGUUAAAGCCCGGGGCUCAACUCCGGUUCGGCAUUGGAUACUAUCUAGCUAGAAUGUGGUAGAGGUAAAGGGAAUUCCUGGUGUAGCGGUGAAAUGCGUAGAUAUCAGGAGGAACAUCGGUGGCGAAAGCGCUUUACUGGACCAUUAUUGACGCUGAGGAACGAAAGCCAGGGGAGCAAAUGGGAUUAGAUACCCCUGUAGUC
RNAcentral lists this ribosomal RNA (460 nucleotides) under uncultured bacterium. RNAcentral describes it as "partial 16S ribosomal RNA". It matches the Rfam family "Bacterial small subunit ribosomal RNA", at positions 338 to 795 of the family's 1533-position model. The record is from RNAcentral.